RNAcentral lists this ribosomal RNA (417 nucleotides) under uncultured bacterium. RNAcentral describes it as "bacterial SSU rRNA". It matches the Rfam family "Bacterial small subunit ribosomal RNA", at positions 508 to 927 of the family's 1533-position model. The record is from RNAcentral.
UCAGCAGCCGCGGUAAUACGGAGGAUGCAAGCGUUGUCCGGAUUCAUUGGGUUUAAAGGGUGCGUAGGCGGAAAAUUAAGUCAGUGGUGAAAGCUUACAGCUUAACUGUAAAAAUGCCAUUGAAACUGAUUUUCUUGAGUUCGAUUGAGGUAGAUGGAAUGUAUCAUGUAGCGGUGAAAUGCUUAGAUAUGAUACAGAACACCAAUUGCGAAGGCAGUCUACUAAGUCGAUACUGACGCUGAGGCACGAAAGCAUGGGGAGCAAACAGGAUUAGAUACCCUGGUAGUCCAUGCCCUAAACGUUGAUUACUCGUUGUUGGCGAUACACUGUCAGCGACUAAGCGAAAGCGUUAAGUAAUCCACCUGGGGAGUACGAUCGCAAGGUUGAAACUCAAAGGAAUUGACGGGGGCCCGCACA